UAAGACGAACCGUGCGAACGUUAUUCGGAAUCACUGGGCUUAAAGCGCGUGUAGGCGGGGCGGUGCGUCGGCCGUUGAAAUCCCCCGGCUCAACCGGGGAAGUGGCGCCGAUACGACCGCCCUGGAGCGACGUAGGGGGAACUGGAACUUCCGGUGGAGCGGUGAAAUGCGUUGAGAUCGGAAGGAACGCCCGUGGCG
Molecule: ribosomal RNA, 198 nt
Filed under: uncultured bacterium
Lineage: Bacteria
Description: partial 16S ribosomal RNA
Rfam family: Bacterial small subunit ribosomal RNA
Source: RNAcentral